GUAAUACUCCCUCCGUCCCGAAUUACUUGUCGCAGAAAUUGAUAGAAAUGAAUGUAUCUAAAACUAAAAAUACGUCUAGAUACAUCCAUUUCUGUGACAAGUAAUUCGGGGCGGAGGGAGUAUAAA
This is a non-coding RNA of Triticum aestivum (bread wheat), 126 nucleotides long. NCBI's taxonomy places the organism in Eukaryota, Viridiplantae, Streptophyta, Magnoliopsida, Poales, Poaceae. The record is from Rfam.